Non-coding RNA from Cucurbita pepo subsp. pepo (vegetable marrow), 82 nucleotides. NCBI's taxonomy places the organism in Eukaryota, Viridiplantae, Streptophyta, Magnoliopsida, Cucurbitales, Cucurbitaceae. The record is from the annotation of a RefSeq genome assembly.
GUCAAUAUGUCUGAGUGGUUAAGGAGACAGACUUGAAAUCUGUUGGGCUAUGCUUGCGUAGGUUCGAAUUCUACUAUUGACG